RNAcentral lists this ribosomal RNA (497 nucleotides) under uncultured bacterium. RNAcentral's name for it is "partial 16S ribosomal RNA". It matches the Rfam family "Bacterial small subunit ribosomal RNA", at positions 28 to 507 of the family's 1533-position model. The record is from RNAcentral.
GAUGAACGCUGGCGGCGUGCCUAAUACAUGCAAGUCGAGCGAACAGAUGAGGAGCUUGCUCCUCUGACGUUAGCGGCGGACGGGUGAGUAACACGUGGAUAACCUACCUAUAAGACUGGGAUAACUUCGGGAAACCGGAGCUAAUACCGGAUAAUAUAUUGAACCGCAUGGUUCAAUAGUGAAAGACGGUUUUGCUGUCACGUAUAGAUGGAUCCGCGCCGCAUUAGCUAGUUGGUAAGGUAACGGCUUACCAAGGCAACGAUGCGUAGCCGACCUGAGAGGAUGAUCGGCCACACUGGAACUGAGACACGGUCCAGACUCCUACGGGAGGCAGCAGUAGGGAAUCUUCCGCAAUGGGCGAAAGCCUGACGGAGCAACGCCGCGUGAGUGAUGAAGGUCUUCGGAUCGUAAAACUCUGUUAUUAGGGAAGAACAAAUGUGUAAGUAACUAUGCACGUCUUGACGGUACCUAAUCAGAAAGCCACGGCUAACUACGUG